Molecule: ribosomal RNA, 453 nt
Filed under: uncultured bacterium
Lineage: Bacteria
Description: bacterial SSU rRNA
Rfam family: Bacterial small subunit ribosomal RNA
Source: RNAcentral
AACGAACGCUGGCGGCAGGCCUAACACAUGCAAGUCGAACGCCCUAGCAAUAGGGAGUGGCGCACGGGUGCGUAACGCGUGGGAAUAUGCCCUUCACUGCGGAAUAACGUUUGGAAACGAACGCUAAUACCGCAUAAUGACUCCGGUCCAAAGAUUUAUCGGUGAAGGAUUAGCCCGCGUUAGAUUAGCUAGUUGGUGAGGUAAUGGCUCACCAAGGCGACGAUCUAUAGCUGGUCUGAGAGGAUGAUCAGCCACACUGGGACUGAGACACGGCCCAGACUCCUACGGGAGGCAGCAGUGAGGAAUAUUGGACAAUGGGCGCAAGCCUGAUCCAGCCAUGCCGCGUGAGUGAAGAAGGCCUUCGGGUUGUAAAGCUCUUUCAGAUGUGAAGAUAAUGACGGUAGCAUCAGAAGAAGACCCCGGCCUAAAUUCGUAGCCAGCAGCCGCGGUAAU